This 802-nucleotide ribosomal RNA is filed under the name bacterium. RNAcentral describes it as "bacterial SSU rRNA". It matches the Rfam family "Bacterial small subunit ribosomal RNA", at positions 40 to 845 of the family's 1533-position model. The record is from RNAcentral.
UGGGGGCCUUAACCAUGCAGUCGAGGGGUAUAAGCCUUUUUCGUUUGAGACCGGCGCACGGGUGCGUAACGCGUAUGCAAUCUGCCUUUCACAGAGGGAUAGCCCAGAGAAAUUUGGAUUAAUACCUCAUAGUAUUACCACUCGGCAUCGAGAUGUAAUUAAAGUCACAACGGUGAAAGAUGAGCAUGCGUCCCAUUAGCUAGUUGGUAAGGUAACGGCUUACCAAGGCGACGAUGGGUAGGGGUCCUGAGAGGGAGAUCCCCCACCCUGGUACUGAGACACGGACCAGACUCCUACGGGAGGCAGCAGUGAGGAAUAUUGGUCAAUGGGCGCAAGCCUGAACCAGCCAUGCCGCGUGCAGGAUGACGGUCCUAUGGAUUGUAAACUGCUUUUGUACGGGAAGAAACACUCCGACGUGUCGGAGCUUGACGGUACCGUAAGAAUAAGGAUCGGCUAACUCCGUGCCAGCAGCCGCGGUAAUACGGAGGAUCCAAGCGUUAUCCGGAAUCAUUGGGUUUAAAGGGUCCGUAGGCGGUCUUGUAAGUCAGUGGUGAAAGCCCAUCGCUCAACGGUGGAACGGCCAUUGAUACUGCAGGACUUGAAUUAUUGGGAAGUAACUAGAAUAUGUAGUGUAGCGGUGAAAUGCUUAGAGAUUACAUGGAAUACCAAUUGCGAAGGCAGGUUACUACCAAUGGAUUGACGCUGAUGGACGAAAAGCGUGGGUAGCGAACAGGAUUAGAUACCCCUGGUAGUCCACGCCGUAAACGAAGGGAUACUAGCUGUUGGGGGGCGAACUUCAGUG